RNAcentral lists this ribosomal RNA (497 nucleotides) under uncultured bacterium. RNAcentral's name for it is "partial 16S ribosomal RNA". It matches the Rfam family "Bacterial small subunit ribosomal RNA", at positions 28 to 507 of the family's 1533-position model. The record is from RNAcentral.
GAUGAACGCUGGCGGCGUGCCUAAUACAUGCAAGUCGAGCGAACGGACGAGAAGCUUGCUUCUCUAAUGUUAGCGGCGGACGGGUGAGUAACACGUGGAUAACCUACCUAUAAGACUGGGAUAACUUCGGGAAACCGGAGCUAAUACCGGAUAAUAUUUUGAACCGCAUGGUUCAAAAGUGAAAGACGGUCUUGCUGUCACUUAUAGAUGGAUCCGCGCUGCAUUAGCUAGUUGGUAAGGUAACGGCUUACCAAGGCAACGAUGCAUAGCCGACCUGAGAGGGUGAUCGGCCACACUGGAACUGAGACACGGUCCAGACUCCUACGGGAGGCAGCAGUAGGGAAUCUUCCGCAAUGGGCGAAAGCCUGACGGAGCAACGCCGCGUGAGUGAUGAAGGUCUUCGGAUCGUAAAACUCUGUUAUUAGGGAAGAACAUAUGUGUAAGUAACUGUGCACAUCUUGACGGUACCUAAUCAGAAAGCCACGGCUAACUACGCG